GCCGAGCUCACUAGCGAGAGCUUGUCACCCGAGCGGGGGCUUUAAGGUGGGUGUGGACGCUGUACUGGCGCUGUGGGCCUGGCUGGAGUGUGCUAUUGCUGGCCCGCCCGUUCCAAGUUGAGUAGUGUACCGGCGGGGCUUGUGCGAAAGCUGGGGCUCACGGGCCAUGAUGUGGCAGGCACUGCGUAAGGCUGGCCUCACAGAGCAGCGACAACUGCCCGCUUCCAACGGUGGAAGGAUAACGGGCCGCUGCACACUUCAGCCGUUUAGGCCUCGCAGCCCACUCCAGCGAACCACCAUUUUU
Molecule: signal recognition particle RNA, 304 nt
Filed under: Triticum aestivum (bread wheat)
Lineage: Eukaryota; Viridiplantae; Streptophyta; Magnoliopsida; Poales; Poaceae
Also listed under: 1 other name
Description: Plant signal recognition particle RNA
Rfam family: Plant signal recognition particle RNA
Source: Rfam by way of RNAcentral